This 229-nucleotide ribosomal RNA is filed under the name uncultured bacterium. RNAcentral's name for it is "partial 16S ribosomal RNA". It matches the Rfam family "Bacterial small subunit ribosomal RNA", at positions 107 to 334 of the family's 1533-position model. The record is from RNAcentral.
UGAGUAACACGUAUCCAACCUGCCGUCUACUCUUGGCCAGCCUUCUGAAAGGAAGAUUAAUCCAGGAUGGCAUCAUGAGUUCACAUGUCCGCAUGAUUAAAGGUAUUUUCCGGUAGACGAUGGGGAUGCGUUCCAUUAGAUAGUAGGCGGGGUAACGGCCCACCUAGUCAACGAUGGAUAGGGGUUCUGAGAGGAAGGUCCCCCACAUUGGAACUGAGACGCGGUCCAA